UAACAUCAUGGUGGCUGUUGAGAGCUAUCAAUGUCAAAAGAAGUCUGAAGAUAUUCAUUUCCAAAGGCUGGUUUCAGUCAAAGCUUUCACGGCCUUGUAACAAUUUUGCUUAAUUUAAUUUCCUUUUGUUUAAUCUAAUUUCCCCUCUUUUAAUCUAAUUUCCUAUGUUGUGUUUUAAUAGAAGAUGAAAAGUGAAAAAAAAAAAAAAGCCCCCAAAAAUAAAACAAAAAACAAAAAAGAAACACAGCAUCAAGAACAGGGACAAAAGAAGAAAUACCCACACAUAUAUCCAGGCUCUUAUGAUUAAGUAAGCUAUAAUUUACGUAUUUGGUAAGACUGUGGGCAAGCAAAUGUCAUUUUUUUUGCAUUUCUUUUUCUGUGCCAUUGUCUGUGCAAUAAGAUAGCUCAUUACCAACGUCUGUGUUUUACAGGGACAUGAAAAAAAUGUGUGUGUCUUGUCCAGUAAAUCAGUGGAAUUUUAUCCAAAGUAGUGAGUCUCCAACUAAGGAACUGAUGCCACAUGCAUAUUCCAGAACGAAACAUCAACCUUGCUAGCAUUUGUGCCCAUCUACAUUGUCUUGUCUGGUCCAGCUGGUGUUGGGAUAUUGUUGAUUAUAUAAAAAGAGAUUAUUUCAUUAAUUGUAGAAGAAGGAAAAGCAUACCAAAGAUGGAGGGGAGCAUCUGCAAGAUACACAAGAAGCAAAAAAAGGCUGGUGCUGACAAGUUCACCCAAGACAAUCAAGGAUAAGUUAUUGCAAUAACAACAUAGCCCUAAAUGUGGGGCAGGGCAGAAUUACAUCACCUAAGGAGGAGCAUCUGCAAGAUUUUUUCUUCUCAAAGCACAGAUCCUAAAGUCAUUUCUCCCUGAGGAGGAAGGUAGCUUUCCUUGUGACUUAAUGGCCCAGCAUCCCUGGUGUAUCUUGGUGAGUAAUGCCCUAGGUAUUCUUGAGGAAUGUGUAGCAACUGUUUAUCUGAAUAGCUUUUGUGAAAGUCUUUGAAGUGAAUAGAACCUGCAGGUUUGCCCACUCAGCAGGUCUGCAGCUGGCAGAAGGUCAUAUGCCAGUCUAGGAGUCUACUCAUAAACUUCCAUUUGUACAAAUGUCAAAAUGAGCUAUAUUCUCAGCAGAUAUAAAUCCUCACAUUUAUAUAUCUCCAUUCAUCAUCACAGUCUUGUUUCCAGUGCAAAUUUUCUCAAUAUUUUUGUUCUCAUUUCCAGGGAUGAGUGUAUUGUUUGCAGUCAGGUCAUAUUUCCUAUCAGUAUGUCCUCUUUCCCUGCUUAUCUGUUGAUUUUUCAGUGGAAUUUGGAUGAAACAACAAAACCUUACUUGUAAGUGAAAAUGAGUAGACUGGAAAUGUAAAGAAUGGCUGGACUGCAAUUAAAGAGUAUUUGAGCUUGCCCACUGCUAUCCAGUCUUACUUUUCUCACUCAGAUGGGUUGCCACAUGAUCCAUACACAAAUGGUGAAGACACAAAGGAAAGGGAAGGAAAAACUAACUCAAAUCUUUCAUUGAAAGACUGUAGGAAGUGACAUAUAGUGACAUAAGUAAGUGACAUAUAUUACUUCUAAAUAUGUAUGUUGCCAUCCGUGUGCUGCUCUUAAUGAACUUAUAAAAAUAAGUUCUGAAAUUAUUUUGCUUGGAAAACACAGAUCAGCUUGAGUAACCUUGCUAUGAAGGUUUUUUAUAAUGUUUCUGCCUCCAGCUGUCCAUCCUAUGCUUACGCCAGGAACUAUUAAAUGAUACCCUUUAAAUUUAAUUAUUUAUUUUUUGGCUGAAGCAGUUGAGGCAACUUCAUAUUUUUUUCCUAAUUUCUCUCUUGUCAGUAGGAUGAGAACCUCUGGCCCAGCAGCAAACAAACAGCUAGGGGCUGUAUGAUCUUAAACUGAUGCAGUGUGUAAAAAUCCCCAGACUUGCAAAAAGUCACUUUCAUCUGUUUCAUAAAGAGAGUAGUUUUCUAUCCAGGCAGCUGAACAGUAUUUUCUUUUUGGAAAUUCCUUGAAUAGUGAGUUGAGUUUUAGCUUAAAACUAACUGCUGUGGGCUUUUUUUGACUGACAAGUACUGGAAUAAGCUCUCCAGGGAGGUUGUUGAGUCACCAUCCCUGAAUGUGUUUAAAAACCAUUUGGAUGUGGUGCUCAGGGACACGAUUUAGUAAAUGGUUGUUAGAGUUAGGGUAAUAUGGUUAGGCUGCAGUUGGACUUGAAGAUCUUCAAGGUCUUUUCUAACCUGAGCGAUUGUAUGAUUCCAUGAUUCUACAGAACAGAGAAAUCAGUAAAGUAUUGAACCUACCUGAAUAGCAGCACUAUUUAUAAGUGUGAUAUGAAGUCAGCCUGGGGUCUUUCACAUUUUGAACAGUAGAAACAGGAAAUCCUCCAUAAAACACAUCCAAAGGACUUUUGAUCACUGAAUGAUAACAUCUGUAACCUACCCUGCCCAAGCUUUAUGAAUUGCUUAUGAAACUUCACUACAAAGAGGUAUCAAAGUUACGCACAGGUAUAUCUUCACAAAAAAAGUCUUCUUUUUUUUUUUUUUCUUUUCUUUUCUUUCUUUCUUUCUUUUUUUUUUUUUAAAUCUUAUUCUUUUCAUGCAUUACUUAUUUAUUUGUUUGUUUGUUUGUUUUUGAUUCAGAAGAAAAACCUUGUUUAGUUUGUCACUUAGGGAAUCAUUCUUGCCCCUAUCUAUUCCAUCACUCCAUGAUCCAGGCUACUUGAAAAGACAAGGUAUGGUGUCAUUUGUCAAAACAAACAGUAGGAAUUUCAGUUUUACAGACAAAUUAAUUGCAGUUCAGUUGUUCUCUUGCAGGUGGCUGAAGCUGAGGUGAAAAGACUAUUACCAUAGGAAAGUACUUCAGCUAUCUGAAGGUAAGCUGUUCCCUGCUUCAUGUGGGAAAUAAACUCAGGGAAAAUAUUGAACUUACCUGGAAC
This is a long non-coding RNA of Coturnix japonica (Japanese quail), 2921 nucleotides long. The record is from Ensembl. Lineage: Eukaryota; Metazoa; Chordata; Aves; Galliformes; Phasianidae.